This 420-nucleotide ribosomal RNA is filed under the name Triticum aestivum (bread wheat). RNAcentral describes it as "partial small subunit ribosomal RNA". Lineage: Eukaryota; Viridiplantae; Streptophyta; Magnoliopsida; Poales; Poaceae. The record is from RNAcentral.
UUUUUACCGUCAUUUGAGGGUAGAUUUAGUCCUACUACUUAUCUAGCUUGGGAGCUUAAAGUAGAACAAGUUUUUAGUCACCAUGACUUUUCUGAACUUGAGCGAGUGCGAGCAGCCACUAGAGCAUUUACUAAUUUUGCUUCUGUUUGGUGGAGUGUACAUUGUAAGAAAAACAUUGAUAACCAACCCACAACUUGGAAAGUUUUGAAAGCUGUAAUGAGACAACAAUUUUUCCCUCCUUAUUAUCGUCGUGAAUUGCUUCACAAAUUUGAACAAUUUAAACAAGGCAACAACACUGUUCAUGCUUACUACCAAGAGUUCAAAUCUUAUAUGCAUCAUUGUGACAUAGAAGAAUAUGAGAAUGAUACAAUGAAUAGAUUUUUUGGUGGUUUGAACCAUGAUAUUCAGGCAAGAUUUUAG